GACGAACGCUGGCGGCGUGCUUAACACAUGCAAGUCGAACGGAAAGACCCUGCUUUUGUGGGGUGCUCGAGUGGCGAACGGGUGAGUAACACGUGAGUAACCUGCCCUUGACUUUGGGAUAACUUCAGGAAACUGGGGCUAAUACCGGAUAGGAGCUCCUGCUGCAUGGUGGGGGUUGGAAAGUUUCGGCGGUUGGGGAUGGACUCGCGGCUUAUCAGCUUGUUGGUGGGGUAGUGGCUUACCAAGGCUUUGACGGGUAGCCGGCCUGAGAGGGUGACCGGCCACAUUGGGACUGAGAUACGGCCCAGACCCCUACGGGAGGCAGCAGUGGGGAAUAUUGCACAAUGGGCGGAAGCCUGAUGCAGCAACGCCGCGUGCGGGAUGACGGCCUUCGGGUUGUAAACCGCUUUCGCCUGUGACGAAGCGUGAGUGACGGUAAUGGGUAAAGAAGCACCGGCUAACUACGUG
This 468-nucleotide ribosomal RNA is filed under the name uncultured bacterium. RNAcentral's name for it is "partial 16S ribosomal RNA". It matches the Rfam family "Bacterial small subunit ribosomal RNA", at positions 28 to 507 of the family's 1533-position model. The record is from RNAcentral.